This is a long non-coding RNA of Cucumis sativus (cucumber), 895 nucleotides long. RefSeq lists it as uncharacterized. The transcript has 2 exons. The record is from RefSeq and is a predicted model, not a curated record. NCBI's taxonomy places the organism in Eukaryota, Viridiplantae, Streptophyta, Magnoliopsida, Cucurbitales, Cucurbitaceae.
GAAAAAUUUUCCUUUCUUCUUCCUCCCGCGCGCAACUCCCCUUUCCCCCUUCAUUUUCUUUUUCUAUUUUCUCCUUCACCAUGCCCUACCUCCAGCCGCACCCUCCAACCGACCACCAUCGCUCUCCUCCUUCUUUUCUUCUCCGAUCCACGGCCGCCGCCCCUAUUCUUCUUCAAUUUCUCUUUCUUUUCUACCAUACCCAGCCGCCGCUGCAACCGUCGGCCGCCAUCUCUGUUCGUGAAGCAAGCCGUACGCGUCGCCUUGCAGUUGUCAUCCAGAUAUGUGUCACCGUGCCUCGUCCUAAUCGCCUCUGUCUCCGUUGAAGCCAAGCCCAGCCGCCGCCCAUUCCUUUCCUCUCCGUUCGUGAAGCCCGGUCGCCGCGUCAGAUCGUCGAUCGAUUUUGAGGCAGCGCGCACGUCUCCUUCCAGUCGCGUGUUUCCUCUUCUUCCAGCAGCGUGUUCUUCUUCCAGCCGCAAUUCACAACCGACGUACACUCUAAUCUGUUUGUACGAUCUUUGUUGUUAGGUUCGAUCGUUGCUGCCGCCGUUUUUGUUGUGUUGGAAGUGACAUUGGGUCCCUCGUGUUCAUAACCGAAAUUGUGAAUUUUGGAGUUUGGCUCGCCAAUACUUCGUAUCUUUCGUGGGAUAUAGUUUGUUUAAGAAAUUGAGCAACCUUGAGGUAAGGGAUUUUCUACUGGACUCAACAACAAAAUUAAGAUAUAAUGACUAAUUAAGAUGUAUUGACUGUAUGGACCGUAUUAUAUUAUUUGAACUGAGUAGAGAUGACUGUUAUGAUGUAUGUUUGGACAUUGACUUAAAGUUUAAUGUUUGCUGUGUUUGACUGGGAGAAAUUAAUACAUAUAUGUGCAUGGGUUGAUGUGGACUGUGGUUGAGUA